Molecule: ribosomal RNA, 558 nt
Filed under: uncultured bacterium
Lineage: Bacteria
Description: partial 16S ribosomal RNA
Rfam family: Bacterial small subunit ribosomal RNA
Source: RNAcentral
UGGGGAAUUUUGGACAAUGGGCGAAAGCCUGAUCCAGCAAUGCCGCGUGUGUGAAGAAGGCCUUCGGGUUGUAAAGCACUUUUGUCCGGAAAGAAAUCCUUGGCUCUAAUACAGUCGGGGGAUGACGGUACCGGAAGAAUAAGCACCGGCUAACUACGUGCCAGCAGCCGCGGUAAUACGUAGGGUGCAAGCGUUAAUCGGAAUUACUGGGCGUAAAGCGUGCGCAGGCGGUUUGCUAAGACCGAUGUGAAAUCCCCGGGCUCAACCUGGGAACUGCAUUGGUGACUGGCAGGCUAGAGUAUGGCAGGAGGGGGGUAGAAUUCCACGUGUAGCAGUGAAAUGCGUAGAGAUGUGGAGGAAUACCGAUGGCGAAGGCAGCCCCUGGGCCAAUACCGACGCUCAUGCACGAAAGCGUGGGGAGCAAAACAGGAUUAGAUACCCUGGUAGUCCACGCCCUAAACGAUGUCAACUAGUUGUUGGGGAUUCAUUCCUUAGUAACGUAGCUAACGCGUGAAGUUGACCGCCUGGGGAGUACGGUCGCAAGAUUAAAACUUAAAU